GGUCAAGCAAGUAAGAGCGCAAGGGGAAUGCCUUGGCAUCAGGAGCCGACGAAGGACGUGACAAGCUGCGAUAAGCUGCGGGGAGCUGCACAUAAGCCUCGAUCCGCAGAUUUCCGAAUGGGGAAACCCGCCGUGGUUAAUACUGCGGCAGCGUACGGUGAAUUCAUAGCCGUACGCAGGGAACCGCCUGAACUGAAACAUCUAAGUAGGGCGAGGAAGAGAAAUCAACAGAGAUUCCGCUAGUAGUGGCGAGCGAACGCGGAAUAGGCCAAACCGGAGGUAGCAAUAUCUCCGGGGUUGUGGACGCGCAUAAGGUACAAUAGGUUAGCCGAACGGCAUGGGAAGGCCGGCCAUAGCGGGUGAGAGCCCCGUAGGCGAAAACCGAUUUGUACUGGCGCGGAUCCAGAGUACCGCGGGACACGAGGAAUCCCGUGGGAAGCCGGGGGGACCACCCUCCAAGCCUAAAUACUACCUGAUGACCGAUAGAGGAGCAGUACCGUGAGGGAAAGGUGAAAAGGACCCCGGGAGGGGAGUGAAAUAGAACCUGAAACCUUGUGCUUACAAGCACUCAAAGCACGUUAAUGUGUGAUGAGGUACUUUUUGUAGAACGGUCCGGCGAGUUAUUGUCACCAGCAAGCUUAAGGUACUUGAGUACCGGAGGCGCAGGGAAACCGAGUGUGAAUAGCGCGUAUGAAGUUGGUGGCAAUAGACCCGAAACCGGGUGACCUAUCCAUGAGCAGGUUGAAGUUGAGGUAAAACUCAAUGGAGGACCGAACGCACGUUCGUUGCAAUGACCGGCGAUGACUUGUGGAUAGCGGAGAAAUUCCAAUCGAACCCGGAGAUAGCUGGUUCUCCCCGAAAUAGCUUUAGGGCUAGCGUUGUGACAGAUUAACGGAGGUAAAGCACUGAAUGGGCUAGGGGCCGAUAAGGUUACUGAACCCUAUCAAACUCUGAAUGCCGUAUAAUUGAUUCACAGCAGUCAGACAGCGUGAGAUAAGUUUCGUUGUCAAAAGGGAAACAGCCCAGAUCUACGUCUAAGGUCCCUAAUAUACGCUGAGUGGGAAACGAUGUGGAGUUGCAAAAACAACCAGGAUGUUGGCUUAGAAGCAGCCACUCAUUAAAAGAGUGCGUAAUAGCUCACUGGUCGAGUGACUCUGCGCGGAAAAUACAACGGGGCUAAGCGUAUAACCGAAGACUAGGCUGUGGGUACAGAUUUGAAACCAUAAAGAGCGCGGGGUUGUUUCGCGGCGGCGCCAAACAACCUUCCGAUCCGCCUGGCAGAAGCAGGGCGUGAAACGCCUGGCUGGAAGCUGGGGCGUAAGAAAGCUUUUAUGGAUUGAAAUCUGUACCCACGGGGUAGGGGAGCGUCGUGCACGGGGCGAAGCAUGAGCGUAAGCACGUGUGGACUUUGCACGAGUGAGAAUGCCGGAAUAAGUAGCGAGAAUUAUGUGGGAAUCAUAAUGGCCGAAAAUCUAAGGUUUCUUGGGGAAGGUUCGUCCGCCCAAGGUAAGCCGGGAGCUAAGGCGAGGCCGAAAGGCGUAGUCGAUGCACAUACGGUUGAAAUUCCGUAGCCGCCGACAUUUAAACCAGAGGGACACUUGAAGAUAGAAGAACCCGGGCGUUGGUUGACCCGGGCGUAAGGGACCGAAAUUUUAGUAGGGAAGUCUUCGAUGCUUUGAGGCGAGAAAAGCUCUGGUGUAUACUAAGGCGCCCGUACCGCAAACCGACACAGGUAGAUGAGGAGAGAAUCCUAAGGCCAACGGGAGAAGGGUUGUCAAGGAACUCGGCAAAAUCACCCCGUAACUUCGGGAGAAGGGGAGCCCCAGCAAUGGGGCCGCAGUGAAUAGGCCCAAGCGACUGUUUACCAAAAACACAGGUCUGUGCUAAAUCGAAAGAUGACGUAUACGGGCUGACGCCUGCCCGGUGCCGGAAGGUUAAGAGGAGAGCUUAGGAGCAAUCCGAAGGUUUGAAUUGAAGCCCCGGUAAACGGCGGCCGUAACUAUAACGGUCCUAAGGUAGCGAAAUUCCUUGUCAGGUAAGUUCUGACCCGCACGAAUGGCGUAACGACUUGGGCACUGUCUCGACAGCCCGCCCGGCGAAAUUGUAGUACUGGUGAAGAUGCCAGUUACCCGCAACUAGACGGAAAGACCCCAUGGAGCUUCACUGCAGCUUGAUACUGGAAGUCGGUAAUUCAUGUACAGGAUAGGUGGGAGACUUGGAAGCAGAGGCGUCAGCUUUUGUGGAGUCACCCUUGGGAUACCACCCUUGAAUUGCUGAUUUUCUAACCUGCGGCCAUGAAUCUGGUCGGGGGACACUGUCAGGCGGGCAGUUUGACUGGGGCGGUCGCCUCCAAAAGUGUAACGGAGGCGCUCAAAGGUUGGCUCAGCACGGACGGAAAUCGUGCGCAGAGUGUAAACGCAAAAGCCAGCCUAACUGCGAGACCGACGGGUCGAGCAGUAACGAAAGUUGGAGUUAGUGAUCCGGCGGUAUGUGCGUGGAAAUGCCGUCGCUCAACGGAUAAAAGCUACCCUGGGGAUAACAGGCUGAUCUCCCCCAAGCGUCCACAGCGACGGGGAGGUUUGGCACCUCGAUGUCGGCUCGUCGCAUCCUGGGGCUGUAUUCGGUCCCAAGGGUUUGGCUGUUCGCCAAUUAAAGCGGCACGCGAGCUGGGUUCAGAACGUCGUGAGACAGUUCGGUCCCUAUCUGUUGCGGGCGUUAGAGAUUUGAGAGGGGCUGUCCUUAGUACGAGAGGACCGGGAUGGACGUACCUCUGGUGCACCAGUUGUCCUGCCAAGGGCAUAGCUGGGUAGCUAUGUACGGACGAGAUAAACGCUGAAGGCAUCUAAGCGUGAAACUCUCCUUAAGAUGAGAUCUCUCACUCGAAAGAGGUAAGGCUCCAGGAAGACCACCUGGUUGAUAGGCCGGAAGUGUAAGCGUGGCAACACGUUCAGCUGACCGGUACUAAUAAGCCGAGGGCUUGACCUC
Papillibacter cinnamivorans DSM 12816 is the source of this 2985-nucleotide ribosomal RNA. It matches the Rfam family "Bacterial large subunit ribosomal RNA". The record is from Rfam. NCBI's taxonomy places the organism in Bacteria, Bacillati, Bacillota, Clostridia, Eubacteriales, Oscillospiraceae.